Molecule: unclassified non-coding RNA, 353 nt
Filed under: soil metagenome
Description: partial contains 5.8S ribosomal RNA, internal transcribed spacer 2, and large subunit ribosomal RNA
Rfam family: 5.8S ribosomal RNA (bases 1-120)
Source: RNAcentral
GAUGAAGAACGCAGCGAAAUGCGAUAAGUAAUGUGAAUUGCAGAAUUCAGUGAAUCAUCGAAUCUUUGAACGCACAUUGCGCCCGCCAGUAUUCUGGCGGGCAUGCCUGUUCGAGCGUCAUUACAACCCUCAGGCCCCCGGGCCUGGCGUUGGGGAUCGGCGGAAGCCCCCUGCGGGCACAACGCCGUCCCCCAAAUACAGUGGCGGUCCCGCCGCAGCUUCCAUUGCGUAGUAGCUAACACCUCGCAACUGGAGAGCGGCGCGGCCACGCCGUAAAACACCCAACUUCUGAAUGUUGACCUCGAAUCAGGUAGGAAUACCCGCUGAACUUAAGCAUAUCAAUAAGCGGAAGA